Acanthosepion pharaonis is the source of this 112-nucleotide non-coding RNA. Lineage: Eukaryota; Metazoa; Mollusca; Cephalopoda; Sepiida; Sepiidae. The record is from the annotation of a GenBank genome assembly.
UACGGCCAUAUUAUGUUAAAACACCGGUUCUCGUACGAUCACUGAAGUUAAGCAACGUCGAGCCUGAUCAGUAUGUAGAUGGGUGACUGCGUGGAAAUUCCAUGUGCUGUAA